UGGGGAAUUUUGGACAAUGGGCGAAAGCCUGAUCCAGCAAUGCCGCGUGUGUGAAGAAGGCCUUCGGGUUGUAAAGCACUUUUGUCCGGAAAGAAAUCCUUGGCUCUAAUACAGUCGGGGGAUGACGGUACCGGAAGAAUAAGCACCGGCUAACUACGUGCCAGCAGCCGCGGUAAUACGUAGGGUGCAAGCGUUAAUCGGAAUUACUGGGCGUAAAGCGUGCGCAGGCGGUUUGCUAAGACCGAUGUGAAAUCCCCGGGCUCAACCUGGGAACUGCAUUGGUGACUGGCAGGCUAGAGUAUGGCAGAGGGGGGUAGAAUUCCACGUGUAGCAGUGAAAUGCGUAGAGAUGUGGAGGAAUACCGAUGGCGAAGGCAGCCCCCUGGGCCAAUACUGACGCUCAUGCACGAAAGCGUGGGGAGCAAACAGGAUUAGAUACCCUGGUAGUCCACGCCCUAAACGAUGUCAACUAGUUGUUGGGGAUUCAUUCCUUAGUAACGUAGCUAACGCGUGAAGUUGACCGCCUGGGGAGUACGUUCGCAAGAUUAAAACUUAAAUGGAAUUGACGGGGUCAUAGCUGUUUCCU
This 585-nucleotide ribosomal RNA is filed under the name uncultured bacterium. RNAcentral's name for it is "partial 16S ribosomal RNA". It matches the Rfam family "Bacterial small subunit ribosomal RNA", at positions 355 to 1375 of the family's 1533-position model. The record is from RNAcentral.